Molecule: unclassified non-coding RNA, 140 nt
Filed under: soil metagenome
Description: partial internal transcribed spacer 1
Source: RNAcentral
CCUAGAGUUGUAGGCCUUGCCUGCUAUCUCUUACCCAUGUCUUUUGAGUACCUUACGUUUCCUCGGUGGGUUCGCCCACCGAUUGGACAAACUUAAACCCUUUGCAGUUGAAAUCAGCGUCUGAAAAAACUUAAUAGUUA